Dreissena polymorpha is the source of this 2507-nucleotide long non-coding RNA. RefSeq lists it as uncharacterized. The record is from RefSeq and is a predicted model, not a curated record. NCBI's taxonomy places the organism in Eukaryota, Metazoa, Mollusca, Bivalvia, Myida, Dreissenidae. The transcript is spliced from 2 exons.
UCGAAUUAGCCUAUAAGCCCGAAGCCCGAGUCGAUUCUUGGGCCGGUCGGUCGAUCCUAAAUGCUAAUAAAAUAGCCCGAUCGGUCGAUUAAAUAUUUGAGCGUCAUAUCAAUAACCUGAUUUAUACGCGUUUUUAAGAAGCACGUUUAAAUUUGCUAUUUAAAUGCCUAAAAUGACGUUUUAAAGCAUGCGGCCGCCAUUUUUCUAAACUGUCGUGUAAGCAUCCGGGUAUGUUGCUAUUUAAAGUAAUGAUGCAAUUGACGCCCAACCAAGAUGAGGUUAUUCAAACUGAACAUGUGUAGAUCACGUUCCGGGAUGUUCGCGCAUCGGGCACUUCGUAAUGUUUUAAAAUAAUGACCAAUCUAGAAGCGUAUUUAAUUUGAGAAGCGUUUUCCGAAAAUGUAUUUAUAAUUCAUGAAAAAUGGACAAGUAAUUUUUUCAAUAAAAAUUAAAGAGUCUGUAAGGGAUAUUGUACGCAUUGGGUUAAAACAAAUUGAUACUUAUUACAGGAUGAAAUCCUCUCGAUGCAGCUGCAUUUGCUAUGGAAUCCCCUGCACUGCUGUAUGCGGCCCUUGCCAAACUGAAAACAGUGACAAUCCAAACAAUUUACAAGAGGUCUGUACUGAAGACGAGGAGGACGACAACGACAGUUUUAACGGUCUCGCUCCGAGACCAAUGUCAUGGCCAAAAGUGAUUGUGCAUCAGGUGAUAGUAGACAGCUAAAUGCCAUAAAUUGAUUUCCACGAUGUUUCAACUGCUUAGUGAUGUCAACAAAUCAAAGUGUUCCUUGUCUCCAAAACUAUGGCGUUUGACAUACAAAUCAUCACCUUUAAGUCAAACUGUACGGAUUUGUUGUUCUUCUUAUUGUGGCGGUGGCUAUUUUUGAAUUUUAGUAUAAAUUAAAAAACUUACACUAUGUCUGAUGAUUUUAAAGUGUUGUUCGACCCCCAAUCCUACUACAUAGUUAUGAUCAUAAAUAGAUUUUGGCGGCCAUCUUAAAAGAAAAAAAAUCCGGAGGUCAGAUUUCGAUAAACUUUUGAUGUUAUAAAGUACCUUCUACCCUUCCAGGUUCAGUCAAAAUUCCUUUUGUAGCAAUUUUUGGGGGGUCAAAGUGUAUAUUGACCUGACUAAUCCAACACUCUUCAAGGGACAAUAAAAUAACAAAAGAUUCAUGCAUUUUUUAUUUCAAAACCCAGUUCAUGUGCUGUGUUAUAUAAAAGAACUGUAAGAUAUAAAACGCUGUUUAAUAGUUUUUUAGUAAGUUAAGAUUUGCAAGAAAUAAAGUUCAUGAUUAAAACGUACAUCAAGCAUACGCAUGAGUAAAACCUUAACUAGAAAAACACAAAUUAUGAACAACAGACACGAAUGCACUUGUUUGUGGGUUUGAAGUUUUGUUCAAUCGACUACUGUUGUUUACAAGCAAAUUUGAACACCAAAUCUAUAUGAAUAAUCUCAAACAGAAAUUUUGCACAUUUGGUUCACGUUUUGAUGGCAAAUUACUAUGCCGCAAUUUUUAACAGAUUUUAAUCAAAAACUCAGAAAUGCAAAUUUAAAUAGAUGUGGUGUCAAAUUGGUUUUACACAAAGGAUUAGAUUACAUGUAGACACUGUAAGCGGCAGACUAUUGCCUCCCUCCUUCUGUCUGUAUCAAGGUCUCCUAACUGCGAGGUAUGGUCGGACAGUAGUCAGACAAGAAGGGUCAGGGCUGACGACUGGUUGGUAGGCAACUAGGAGGCAAUAGCAGGUGUAUUUGUAAACAUUGAUGACAACUCAUUGUACAUUCACUGGGAACGCAUCACAAGUAAAAAUUGCAAUACAUUCUUCUUCUGCAUGAUCUCUUUGUUUUGUGGUUGGAUUUGCAGCAGUCAAGUUGUGGAAGGAUUCCCAGUGAAGACUGUUAUACAGGUAUAAAUAACAAAAUUGUGUACCUGCAAGACAUACAUUGUUCAGAAAACAAGUCAUUUGCUUAUGUAUCAUUAACAAUAGAGCACUAAAAAUACAAAAUGACGCAUUUUCUGAACUGUUGUUCCUGAAAACAUUUUGUUUUCAUGAACACUUAAAUACCAUUUAAGAAUAGUAAUAGGUCUUAAAUGAGCAAAGUAAGAAUGACUCUUAACAUAACCAGUUCUUGUCUUUAAUAUCAAAUGGCAUUUAAAGUUUGCCUAAAUUAACAUUCGAUUCUGGGCUCUUUCCAGAAUGUUAAUUUAGGCUUAAUCAUUGCUCUUCAAUGGUGUUUCAUUUUGUUUACAAACUUGGCACACAGAAAUUCAAGGGGUAAAAACAAACAUGCCUUCUGAACACGAGGUUUUGGUUUGUAAUUGGUACAAUGAUCAAAUACAGGCAAGUUUAUUUAUACCCCUUGAAUGGCACCAUUCUUUUUUAGCAGAUAUACCAACUCCAAUAGUUCAGUAAAUUUCGCUUUAUCAUAUAAAAUAAAUACAUUUUACCUUAUCUUUAAGAGUUGGUCAAUUUACAAUUGGUUCACACACAGUUUAUUUUGACACAAAA